UGGUUUAAUUCGAUGCAAAGCGAAGAACCUUACCAGGGCUUGACAUGCCGCGAAUCCUCUUGAAAGAGAGGGGUGCCCUCGGGAACACGGACACAGGUGGUGCAUGGCUGUCGUCAGCUCGUGUCGUAAGGUGUUGGGUUAAGUCUCGCAACGAGCGCAACCCUCGUGUUUAGUUGCCACUAUGAGUUUGGAACCCUGAACAGACCGCCGGUGUUAAAGAUGGCACUAGAAGGAUGUGUAUCGAUUAUCGAGCCCUGAAUGAGGUCACCA
RNAcentral lists this non-coding RNA (270 nucleotides) under Zea mays. RNAcentral's name for it is "Bacterial small subunit ribosomal RNA". It matches the Rfam family "Bacterial small subunit ribosomal RNA", at positions 942 to 1218 of the family's 1533-position model. The record is from Rfam by way of RNAcentral. Lineage: Eukaryota; Viridiplantae; Streptophyta; Magnoliopsida; Poales; Poaceae.